Molecule: non-coding RNA, 86 nt
Organism: Geopyxis carbonaria
Lineage: Eukaryota; Fungi; Ascomycota; Pezizomycetes; Pezizales; Tarzettaceae
Source: the annotation of a GenBank genome assembly
UCUUUGGUAGUAUAGUGGUUAGUAUACCCGCCUGUCAUUAAACCGACUGUCCGCGGGUGACCGGGGUUCAAUUCCCCGCCAGAGAG